Molecule: ribosomal RNA, 264 nt
Filed under: uncultured archaeon
Lineage: Archaea
Description: partial 16S ribosomal RNA
Rfam family: Archaeal small subunit ribosomal RNA
Source: RNAcentral
CACGACUACAUUAGAUACCCCCGUAGUCCCAGCCCUAAACGAUGCGCGUUAGGUGUAUCGGUGACCACGAGUCACCGAGGUGCCGAAGGGAAACCGUGAAACGUGCCGCCUGGGAAGUACGGUCGCAAGGCUGAAACUUAAAGGAAUUGGCGGGGGAGCACCACAACGGGUGGAGCUUGCGGUUUAAUUGGAUUCAACGCCGGAAAUCUUACCGGGACCGACAGCAACAUGAAGGCCAGGCUGAAGACUUUGCCGGAUUAGCUG